GACGAACGCUGGCGGCGUGCCUAAUACAUGCAAGUCGAACGCUUCUUUCCUCCCGAGUGCUUGCACUCGAUUGGAAAGGGGGGUGGCGGACGGGUGAGUAACACGUGGGUAACCUACCCAUCAGAGGGGGAUAACACUUGGAAACAGGUGCUAAUACCGCAUAACAGUUUAUGCCGCAUGGCAUAAGAGUGAAAGGCGCUUUCGGGUGUCGCUGAUGGCUGGACCCGCGGUGCAUUAGCUAGUUGGUGAGGUAACGGCUCACCAAGGCCACGAUGCAUAGCCGACCUGAGAGGGUGAUCGGCCACACUGGGACUGAGACACGGCCCAGACUCCUACGGGAGGCAGCAGUAGGGAAUCUUCGGCAAUGGACGAAAGUCUGACCGAGCAACGCCGCGUGAGUGAAGAAGGUCUUCGGAUCGUAAAACUCUGUUGUUAGAGAAGAACAAGGACGUUAGUAACUGAACGUCUCCUGACGGUACCUAACCAGAAAGCCACGGCUAACUACGUG
RNAcentral lists this ribosomal RNA (508 nucleotides) under uncultured bacterium. Its description in RNAcentral is "partial 16S ribosomal RNA". It matches the Rfam family "Bacterial small subunit ribosomal RNA", at positions 28 to 507 of the family's 1533-position model. The record is from RNAcentral.